RNAcentral lists this small RNA (286 nucleotides) under Octodon degus (degu). RNAcentral's name for it is "7SK RNA (ENSODEG00000022642.1)". The stretch from base 11 to 173 matches the Rfam family "7SK RNA". Rfam says of the family: 7SK was discovered as an abundant small nuclear RNA in the mid-70s but a possible function has only recently been suggested. Two independent studies have found that 7SK RNA binds the CDK9/cyclin T complex (known as elongation factor P-TEFb). Lineage: Eukaryota; Metazoa; Chordata; Mammalia; Rodentia; Octodontidae. The record is from RNAcentral.
AGACUAAAGAAAAAGAAUGUGAAGGUCACCCCACUGAUCUCCAGGGCUGAUUUGGCUGGUCUGGCUGGCUAGACGGGUAUCCCCUUUCUCCCUCACCACUCUAUGUGAGUCCCUCCCAAAGCUGCAUGCUCAGUCAAAACGAACUAUUUCCUUAGUCAAGCUGCCAGACCCUCCAAAUAAGUGCUCAAAAUUUUAAAAAGGGGGAAGUCCAGGCACACUAUUCUGGCUCUGGAACGAGGCAUGGUGGCACAUGCCUGUAAUCCCAGUACUUGGGAGGUUAAGACAG